CGAGAGGGGGCAAGCGUUAUUCGGAAUUAUUGGGCGUAAAGGGCGCGUAGGCGGCUUUGCAAGUGACGGGUGAAAGCCCUCGGCUUAACCGAGGAACUGCCUGUCAGACUGUGAGGCUUGAGACCGGGAGAGGUGAGUGGAAUUCCCAGUGUAGCGGUGAAAUGCGUAGAUAUUGGGAGGAACACCAGUGGCGAAGGCGGCUCACUGGACCGGAACUGACGCUGAGGCGCGAAAGCGUGGGGAGCAAACAGGAUUAGAUACCCUGGUAGUCCACGCCGUAAACGAUGAGUGCUUGGUGUAGCGGGUAUCGACCCCUGCUGUGCCGAAGUCAACACAUUAAGCACUCCGCCUGGGGAGUACGGUCGCAAGACUG
Molecule: ribosomal RNA, 373 nt
Filed under: uncultured organism
Description: bacterial SSU rRNA
Rfam family: Bacterial small subunit ribosomal RNA
Source: RNAcentral